AGAUACCAACCUUUGCCUUUUCUAUGACAUUUGCAAACUCUCCUACCCACAGGAAGCAGUGAUGGGGAGAGAGCAGGAGGAAGCAGUCCCCGCUGUUGAGCGACGAAGCUCGAGGUUCAACCAGUCGUGUCUGCACGUGUCUUCUUCCUGUAAGGCGGGAGGCAAAGAGUCACCAUCUUCCCAGACAGGAGACCUCUCCAAGCCACAGGAAGGACCAGGAAGCACCUCUGCUACAGACUUUUGCAAUUCUAAAGACUCUUGUCUACCAAUACCAGUUCCGUGAUGCGGGGUGGUGGAAGGGGGGUUCGAAUGUUGGCCUUAGAGGUUACUCUCCCUUGCCAGUGUUAGGACACCCGCUGGCGUCCUUUUACAGCACGUGUGUGGAUUAAUCAAGUUCCCUCCUCCAGGAAAGUUAGCAAACAUGUUCCUUUUCCCUCUGUAACUCCUCUCCCCGUCUCCUUCUCUCGGCGUGGCCCACCUCCUACAUUUCAUACCCUCUGCCAGCCAUGCUGCAGGUGAGGACACGCCUUCACACAGCAUCUUCCUCCUGGGGGCUUUC
Molecule: long non-coding RNA, 559 nt
Filed under: Lynx pardinus (Iberian lynx)
Lineage: Eukaryota; Metazoa; Chordata; Mammalia; Carnivora; Felidae
Source: RNAcentral